UGCACAUUGCCUUAGAUCCACACUUCUGGGCACAUAAGUGGUGGUUAUGUGAGCUCAACAAGCUAACAUCAUCCAUUGCCCAAACAACCUUAUUGGCUGUUCAUAGAGUGUGCUUGAGUCAUAAGUGUGCUAAAGUAUUCUACCUCUGUAUUGUAGGUGUUUGUUGUGUAGUGCAUAGAAAGCUUGCUUGUAGCUUAUAUACUACAUACGACCUGCAUAUUGGGACAUA
This is a small nucleolar RNA of Physella acuta, 229 nucleotides long. RefSeq annotates it as small nucleolar RNA SNORA53. Lineage: Eukaryota; Metazoa; Mollusca; Gastropoda; Physidae. The record is from RefSeq and is a predicted model, not a curated record.